UCCAGGGCUGGGGCAUCCACUGCUGCUCCGGCCAACCUGUGCCGCUGCCUCUCCGCACUUCCAGGGAAGAAUUUCAUCCGAAUAUCCAAUCAAAAGCCACCCCAGAAUUCACAUUUACUUAUUACUGGAUGAAGACGGGCACCCCACAAGCAGGUACAUAGACAAGGCAAAGAUUUUUAAUGCCUUCUUCACUCCAGCUUUCAACACCAGUGAUGGGCUCUAGGGGUCUCUGAGCUGGAGGACCAUAGCUCUGAGAAUAAUAAACUCAGUCAAUCUCAAACUUGUGCAGGAUCUGCUGUUCCAGCUGAAUCCCUUUAUAGGGAUGGUGUAUGGGGCCUUAUGGAAUUCAUCCAAGACUAUUCAAAAGAGCUGGUGGAUGUCAUCAUGAGACCUCUCUCAAUGAUUUUUGAACUGCCAUGGGAAUCUGGAGAGAUCCUACUUGACUGGAAAUUGGCAAACAUUUUCCCAGUUUUCUGAAAGGGCGAGGGAUGAUCCUGGGCACUAUAGGCCCGUCAGUCACAUUUCAUUGCCUGGUAAAAUUACGGAGAAGAUUAUUCUGAGAGUUAUGGAAAAAAUAUCUGAAGGACAAUGAAGGCAUCAGUCACAGGCAGCACAAGUUCCUGAGGGGAAAGUUCUGCUUGAGAAACUUAAAUUCCUUUAAGGACAAGGUAACUCAAGUAGUUGAUCUAGGGAAGCUUUGAUAAAAAAUUUGUAGUUUAGUAAAGCUUUCUAUUCUGUCUCUCCCAGGAUUCUUCUGGACAGAAUGUCCAGCACAUGGAUGGAUAAAUACAUUAUGCGAUGGGUGAGCAACAGGCUCAUGGGUCGGGUUAUAGUGAAUGGGGUGACAUCAGACUGGUGACUGGUCACUAGUGGGGCUCUGCAGAGCUCAAUUUUAAGGCCAAUGCUCUUCAAAUCUUCAUAAACAACUGGGAUACAGGAUUUGAAGAUACACUGAAUUUGCCAGCAUAGCUGAAGCUGUAUCAGCAGACCCGCCCGACCAGGCAGCCUGUAGUAGACACCAAACACAGGCUUUUUCUGGAAAUGUCCUCGAUUUUUACCCACAGGCUUUCAGCCUCUUCAUGGCUGUUACUCAGACGCAGCUCUUUACUAUCUGUCCCUUCCUUAGAGAGUC
Molecule: long non-coding RNA, 1132 nt
Organism: Oenanthe melanoleuca
Lineage: Eukaryota; Metazoa; Chordata; Aves; Passeriformes; Muscicapidae
Exons: 2
Source: RefSeq, a predicted model, not a curated record